GACGAACGCUGGCGGCGUGCUUAACACAUGCAAGUCGAACGGGAAGGCCCUGCUUUUGUGGGGUGGUCGGGUGGCGAACGGGUGAGUAACACGUGAGUACCCUGCCCUUGAGUUUGGGAUGACGUCAGGACACUGGGGCUAAUACCGGAUAGGAGCUCCUGCUGCAUGGUGGGGGUUGGAAAGUUUCGGCGGUUGGGGGUGGACUCGCGGCUUAUCCGCUUGAUGGUGGGGUAGUGGCAUACCAAGGCUUUGCCGGGUAGCCGGCCUGAGAGGGUAACAGGCCAAGUUGGGACUGAGAUAAGACACGGACUAGUACGGGACGGAGGGGUGGAGAAUAUUGCACUAUGGGCGGAAGCCUGAUGCAGCAUCGCCGCGUGCGGGAAGACAGGCUUGGCGUUGUAUAGCGCUUUCGCCUGUGACGAAGCGUGAGUGACGGUAAUAGGUAAAGAAGCACCGGCUAACUACGUG
Molecule: ribosomal RNA, 468 nt
Filed under: uncultured bacterium
Lineage: Bacteria
Description: partial 16S ribosomal RNA
Rfam family: Bacterial small subunit ribosomal RNA
Source: RNAcentral